GAUGAACGCUGGCGGCGUGCCUAAUACAUGCAAGUCGAGCGAACAGACGAGGAGCUUGCUCCUCUGACGUUAGCGGCGGACGGGUGAGUAACACGUGGAUAACCUACCUAUAAGACUGGAUAACUUCGGGAAACCGGAGCUAAUACCGGAUAAUAUAUUGAACCGCAUGGUUCAAUAGUGAAAGACGGUUUUGCUGUUACUUAUAGAUGGAUCCGCGCCGCAUUAGAUAGUUGGUAAGGUAACGGCUUACCAAGGCAACGAUGCGUAGCCGACCUGAGAGGGUGAUCGGCCACACUGGAACUGAGACACGGUCCAGACUCCUACGGGAGGCAGCAGUAGGGAAUCUUCCGCAAUGGGCGAAAGCUUGACGGAGCAACGCCGCGUGAGUGAUGAAGGUCUUCGGAUCGUAAAACUCUGUUAUUAGGGAAGAACAAAUGUGUAAGUAACUAUGCACGUCUUGACGGUACCUAAUCAGAAAGCCACGGCUAACUACGUG
Molecule: ribosomal RNA, 496 nt
Filed under: uncultured bacterium
Lineage: Bacteria
Description: partial 16S ribosomal RNA
Rfam family: Bacterial small subunit ribosomal RNA
Source: RNAcentral